AUGGUUUCCCACAAGGAUAAGGCUCAAAAGGCGUAUGAGGCCAUGGGGCGUCUCGGCUUCUCCAAGAAGCAGGUUUCGCUAGUCCCGAGGCACCUCUACAACCUCUUUGACAAAAACUAGGAGCCCAUCAAGGACGAGAGCUACCGCAUCCUUGCUGACACCAUCCUGGAUAGCCAAAAGAAUCAACCAAUUCCUGCCACUAGCCAUCAUGUGACAGACCAAGCGUCCGAGCCUCACAACUCAACGCCGGUCACACCAGAUCAAGAUGACCAACACCCUUCUGCCGCUCGGUAUGACAUGGAUGUCAGUGAUAAUGAAACCUCCCUCAUCAACAGACCCAUGGAUGUCAGUGAAAAUCCCUAAGAUGCUCUCUUCUUACAAGAGCCCAAACCUGAACCUGAAAUUGAUAUUCCAGCUACCCCUGUUGCCAACGACCUCAAUACUGGGUCUUCAGAGUCACGUGCUGUGCAUUCUGAAGCUCAAAACAAUGGUGGCAGCUUGCAAGAAUAGGCUUUGGAGACAUAUGCUCCAUUUGUGAAACCAAUUGCUUGUAAGCAUGCUGUUGAUGGGAAUGGUAAUGCUGCUGUAGGAUCAUCCUUGGAACCUAGCUUUCAAAAUUGGGUAGUUGCUUAUCAGCCUCAGGAAGCACUUUUUAAGCAAAGGUUGCUGCAUGAUGUUGCUGACAUAACGAAGGGAGAAGAAAGAGUUAGAAUACCUAUUGUAAACGAAUUUGGUAGUGAUAGUUGUCUGCAAUUGUUCUAUUACAUAAGAAAGAAUCUCACUUUCCAAAGUGCUUAUGUCAACACCUCACUUGCGCGGAUUGGUGAUGAGGAUUGCUGCGCAGAUUAUUCAGGCAACUGCUUAUUAGAAUCACAUCCAUGUGCAUGUGCAAGAUCAACUGGAGGCGGGAUUGCAUACACACCAGAGGGCCUGGUCAGGGCAGAAUUAAUUGAUGAGUGCAUAGUUGUUAAUCACUUCCAAGAAAAGGAUAAUAAGUUCUACUAUAAAGCUUGCCCUCUUGAAAUAUAUAUGAUGAAGCCCUCAUCGGAUCCAUGUAAAGGUCAUCUUGCUAAAUUCAUUAAGGAAUGUUGGAGUAAAUGUGGCUGUGGCAUGCAGUGUGGAAAUUGUGUGAUUCAAUGUGGGAUAACAUGCAAUUUUCAGGGUGUUUUCACGAAUGAAGGGAAGGGUUGGGGGCUAUGUACGCUGGAUGGGCUACCAAAAGGUGCUUUCAUUCGUGAAUUAGUUGGGGAGGUACUAACAAGUUUUGAACUACAUGAGAGAAAAGCCAAAAAUUCUAAGCAUGUGGAUCAAGUGCUCCUAGAUGCUAGUUGGGGUUCUGAAGGGCUGCUAAGAGAUGAGGAAGCUCUAUGCCUUGAUCUAGCAUAUUAUGGGAAUGUCGGGUUUGUCAACCAUAGAUGCUAUGAUGCAAAUUUGGUAAUCAUACCUAUUGAAGUCGAGACUCCUGAUCGCCAUUAUUACCAUCUUGCAUUAUUCACUGCCAAGAAAAUAGAGGCUUUUGAGGAGUUAACGCGGGUAAGUGUCUGUAUCAUUUUCUCAACACUAGUAUACAUGACAACCACCUGCAAGUACUUGAUAAUACCCUCAAUUAAUACCUGCACAAUAUGA
Molecule: ribosomal RNA, 1626 nt
Filed under: Triticum aestivum (bread wheat)
Lineage: Eukaryota; Viridiplantae; Streptophyta; Magnoliopsida; Poales; Poaceae
Description: partial small subunit ribosomal RNA
Source: RNAcentral